UUUCUUGGGAGACAACAGUUUCAAACAGGGGAAAAGGGCGUGGUCCAAAAGGGCGUUAUCCUUGACACACCUUUUGUUCCCCCCACUUCCCAGGCUGGAGCCGCCGCCCCUGUUGGGAAGCACUUAAUUUGAGUUCGACUUAUAGAAAUUGGUCCCUCUAUCUUGAAAUUCGUGGGGGGGGGACUUUCUAGAUAAAAUGCUGCGUCAUUAUGAGUCGUUUGAAAAUGUAUUAAUUGUUUAUGAACGGCUGAGGGAUUUUCAUUUAAUUUUUAAUAGCCUUAUAAUCAAAUUAAGAAUCGAGCAAUCUUGCAUUACCCCCUGGAAUACUGUAGCUUUGAUUAACAGCGAAAGGAAGAUAAUAGUUUCCAGGGGGAUACUCUACAUUACUUUGCCUCCUUAACUGCGAUUUAACAAGAGACCUGCAUUCGAUUUCUCCUCAAAUUUUAUUUGACUUUUCUUUGAUUAAAGUCGGGUAAGAGAAUUUUGAAAGUCAAACUGUUUCGAAGAAUUUUUUCGAGAAUAAUGACUGGUUCCGUUAAAGUCCAGAUUGAAUACUGUGGUGGAUGAGGGUACGCCCCACGAUAUGGGGACUUGGCUUCUCAAAUCAAGAGAGCUGUCCCUGAUGCAGAUGUGAAAGGGAUUGUUGGCAAAAGAAGUUCUUUUGAAGUUACAGUCAAUGGACAAGUAAUUUUUUCAAAAUUAAAGGUUGGAAACUUUCCCGAUUUUCAAGAGGUUGUCGAGAUUGUUACAAAGGCCUCUGAAAGUGGCGAGGUAGAGCAGGCUACAAAAUUUGAGGAGAGUUCUUGUACAAUACUUUAAAUAGAUUUUAAUAUUUCAAAUUUAGGUUGUUUUGUAUUUGUAUUUGUAGCUGUUAUGAAAAUUCAGCCAGAACUUAAUUGGCUGAGUUCGAUGCCUUCAACUAUGAAUUCAAAUAUUUGUUUAAUAAUACCUAUAAAUUUGUUGUAUAAAUGAAUGUUUAUAUAAUGUUUUCUGACAAAUGAAAUGUUCUAUUUCCUGUUUCUAUGUUGCACCUGAGAUAUUCUCAGGCCAAUCGCUGCUAAGGAAGUUUACUCAAGCUGUUGAAGUGUCGUUAGGGGUGGUAAAGGGGACUUGGUCCGAAUCAUAGGAAAAAGGUUGAAUAUCAUGUCUCAAGUUGAAGAAUCAUUGCUAACAAUGGGCCUUUGCGAGCGUGGCGACGAUCCAAACAAUGGCAGUAAACUUCUACGGAUUAACCAAAAUUGAUUUCAGACUGUCUGAAAAUGCAUUAUGGGAUGCUUACGUAGCGCAAUGGCUCAUUGUUAGCAAUGAGUCUUUAAAGACUUUUUCCCCAGCCCUGUUGAGAGUCAUCUUCGUUAUGCUGAAGAAGCCUGGGGGAGUUUAUCGAACACUUAGAUAACCCCCUAUCAGAGACUGCUAAAUGGUACAUUUGAGAUUAUUGAAGCAUAAAAAAUAAAAGACUUUAUUUCGACCAAAAAAUAGCUUCGAUCAGAUGUUCCAAUUUGGACCAGUCGUUUCUAAUGUUUAAAAUAAUUAACAAGAUAUGUCCCGAGAGUCUGCACGAUAAAUUUACCAAACGAUUAUCGAUAAACAAGUACUAUACGAGCAACAAGACAGAUCUCCAAACCUGAAGAUUAAAUUUAGACUACAGUAAACAGAGUUUCAAUUUCACUGGUCCGAAAACCUGAAAUGCUUUUCCAAAGCACAUUGGUGAGUCUGACACACCCACCCUGUGUAAAAAUGUCCUAAGAAAUCAUUUUGUAAGCUGAGGAAGAAAGAGGAAUCUUUUUGCACAUGAAUCCGUUAAAGAACAGUAUUGUUUUUAUAAUUUUUAAUUUGUCUCUAUUUUCUUAUAUAUGUUUUCAACCCUUAUUUAUAAUUAGAAUUGAUAUUUUAGUUUUGUAAUUAGGAAUUAGGAUUAAUACUAAAUGAAUAUCGUGGAUAAAAGAAAUAUGAAAUUUUACGAAAAUCCCUUGCCAGACUCUUUAUUUCAACAAUAUUUUGAGGAAGUUCACUGUCAAGGAGAUUUUAUGUAAAAAAUGUUUAGGAAUUAAUGGUAAAUGAAAGGUAAUAAAAAGGUAGUAUAAAAAAUAAUGGAACAAAGGAUUUUUCACAACAAAUUUUUUCCUUUUUUCUAAUUCAAGAGAUUCUUUGGAUACUUUUAUUUCAAACAAGUAACUUUUCAUCUAUCACAGUUUCAUUUCAUUCAGAAAUGGAUGUGAUUAUUAAAACUAUGAUUAUUUCAUAAAAGCGAUUCAUUGCCUUCGUUGAUGCAACAGAGUAAAAGCGGAUGUCACAGCUAACGUGUCCCCAUAGCUAUGGCCUUGGGGCAUAUGCCUCCGGUUCCUGACCCAAUGCUUGUCUCAAGUUUUCGAAAUGGGCUUAUUUCGCAAAAGAUAUUUAAUGGUGGGGGCUCUCCAGAGGGGUGGGCUUAUUCGAAGUUGGGGGCUUGGCAGCAGCCAAAAACAUUACGAGGGUAAAUUUCUUCCUCUUGUUGAGACUUGUCAGUACUGUAUGUUGAAAAAUCCUGGGAUGAAUUUAUUGCUAUCAGGGCAGUACUACAGCCCAUUAGGGCUUGUUGGGGCGUUGGGGUUAUUUCUCAAAGAUUAUUUUAGGGUGAGGGCUUGUUUGAAGUGGGGGGGGGACUUUUUCAAAUUUGGGGGCUUCGAGUAUUUAUGGUAUUAAGCAAUGUCAGAUUUUCAAAAAGACUUUUACCAUAACGUCAGGGCCAAUAAAUGAUUGGUUAUAAACAUAGAACCCUUGAAGGAACCAACUGGACCUCGCAUUAUUCGUCUCAUGUUAUUUUAGACCCACACCUGGGUAUAAAAACCAUCUUAACUUAGUUAUUGUCGGACAUUAAGAAUCCUAGGAGCUCCUUCUUUAAAUUUCUUUAAAUUUAAUGUUCCGUUUUUGUGCUAUUUUCAAUUAUAUAAUAUCAAUCUACAAUCUUUAGUUCCGAAAAGAAUAAGCCCAUCACAAAGACACACAUCACUUCUUAUUUUUGUAUAAUUUUGUUGUUUCAAAUUUAGAAUAAUAAAAAAGUCCAAAGUAAUAAAAAAAGUCAAAGAGGUAAUAUAUGCAAAAUAAAGUAGUUAGGAUAACAAGUUCGAAAAUACGCAAGGAUGAUGAUUGAAUGAACCCAAAGUUGCAAAAAAACACAACUUUAUCGGGCACUAAAUACUUUUACGUUGACAAAACUGAGCUCUCUGUGUUUGGGGGGGGGGCAAAUCGUACACAAUUCAAUUCUCCGUGUUGGUUGCAUGGGUAAGGAUAAUUGGCAAAAAUUUUUAGUGUCAUUACCAGCAAAUUUUGGCAAGCACUUCAGCUUGAAAUUUUCCUUUAUGUAUGGUGCACAAUGGGAUAUUAUCCCCUUUUGCUGCCUAGCCCCCUUUUCACCCUAACCACGUUAGAAUUUUUCGACCCAUCUCCUCCUGCAGUUCUGGUCGCUGCGAUUCCCCAAGAGGAAACAAAUCACCCACAAUGCUGUGCGCCAAGAAGAACAUUCAAAUGCCAAGAUGGCGAAAAAAUCGAAGCCUUCGGCAAAGAGAAGCGUUUUUUGGGAAGAAACAAAGCUGUAGCAAGUUAAAGAUGAAAGAAUGUGGCUUGAAAUUCAAUGAAAAAAGACAAGUGAUAUGAUGGAAGCAAAGACAACGGCUUCAAGAAGCAUCUUGCUUGGCCAUGAUGCCUGCCUGAUUCAAUGCUAGCUGUUGUAUUGAUGCAAUGAAAGGACAAUGACAGUAGUUAGUGAAUAAAAAGUCACAUCAAAGAAUGAUUCCCAAAACAGAUCAGUUGAUGAAUCACAAAUCAUAACAGGAAUCACAAAUCAUUUGAUGAUGAAUCACAAAUCAGAACAGUUGAUGAAUGACAUAAGCUUGGCCAUGAUGCCUGCCUGAUUCAAUGCUAGCUGUUGUAUUGAUGCAAUGAAAGGACAAUGACAGUAGUUAGUGAAUAAAAAGUCACAUCAAAGAAUGAUUCCCAAAACAGAUCAGUUGAUGAAUCACAAAUCAUAACAGGAAUCACAAAUCAUUUGAUGAUGAAUCACAAAUCAGAACAGUUGAUGAAUGACAUAAGGUAUGCAAUCUUCAUAUCACUGAUUUAUGUUAAGCUUAAAAUGAUGAACUCAAAGGAUCUCCGUUGGAUCAAAAUAUUGUAUAUUCUUGACACAUUCCAAACAACACGUCCACAAAGAGUUUUUCUAAAAAUAAGACUGACAGUUUUUCUAGGCUAAUGGAAAUAUCGUAGUCAUAAAAAUCAUUUUUUGUGAAAGCAACUAUUCAGCCAAUUUUUUCCUGAAGUUUGGAGUCUUUGUUGCUAGACUAAGUGUGUUCAUAUAGAUUGCAGUAGUAAGCACGAUUGUUAAAACUGCUAAUGAAUUGAUUGCACAAGUCCAGUUGAUCUUCAAUUUGAUUGGUUAAGACCACGCUACUUGUAAGUUGAUUAAGACCACGCUUCAAAUCCGAUUCACGAAUGAUGUUUUGGGAAGCGUCUGAUCUAUUUUCGAAUAAAUCUUGGCCUACUUGGCACACAUUUACCAUUUUUACCCAUUAUCAGUCAUUCUAUAGAAGUUUCCUAUUGUGUUUGGGUUGAUGGACUACAUCUCUCUCUCUCUCUCUCUCUCUCUCUCUCUCUCUCUCUCUC
Non-coding RNA from Rhopilema esculentum, 4635 nucleotides. The record is from RefSeq and is a predicted model, not a curated record. NCBI's taxonomy places the organism in Eukaryota, Metazoa, Cnidaria, Scyphozoa, Rhizostomeae, Rhizostomatidae.